GGCGGAGUAGUUUAAUUGUUAAAAUGUGAUUUUUCAUUAAGUCAAGAUAGAGGUUCAAAUCCUUUCUCCGCCA
Molecule: transfer RNA, 73 nt
Filed under: Parcubacteria group bacterium
Lineage: Bacteria
Description: tRNA-Lys
Rfam family: tRNA
About the family: Transfer RNA (tRNA) molecules are approximately 80 nucleotides in length. Their secondary structure includes four short double-helical elements and three loops (D, anti-codon, and T loops). Further hydrogen bonds mediate the characteristic L-shaped molecular structure. tRNAs have two regions of fundamental functional importance: the anti-codon, which is responsible for specific mRNA codon recognition, and the 3' end, to which the tRNAs corresponding amino acid is attached (by aminoacyl-tRNA synthetases). tRNAs cope with the degeneracy of the genetic code in two manners: having more than one tRNA (with a specific anti-codon) for a particular amino acid; and 'wobble' base-pairing, i.e. permitting non-standard base-pairing at the 3rd anti-codon position.
Source: RNAcentral